UCCGCCCGGUCGGCGCCUACCGCAUCAGCGCCAGGCCACUGAAGGGGAGCUACCAGGAGGACGCCGUCGAGCUUCCCCAUGCACGACCUAGUUGAGACAAGGCUGGGUGUUGGUGUCUGCUGCUGCUGCUGCUGCUGCGACCUACCAGAGCUGUUGCCAGUGGCCACAUUUCCGUGCUCCUGUCGCCGACCACCUCCCCAAUAAGCUACUGCUGGUUCAAAUCAUUCUAGAAGAGGAGAUGCCGGGUGUGAAGGGUGGUACCGGGAGGCGGUGUCGGAGGAGGAAGCGUGGUGGCGAACACCAUCGGCAACAUCCUCAAGUGCAGAGUGGAGGCACUCAGGAUGACGAGGAGGACUGAAUGACUGUGGUUGCCCCUUCUUCUUCAACUCCAUGUGUUUUCUGGAGAAGUUUCCAGCUCCUCUCUGUUAUUUCUAAGCCUUUUGUAGUUUUUACACCUCAAAUAUGUGUCAAGCUUUAAUUGCUUUCUUGGAUAUAGUGGAUGUACUUGCUUCUGUGAAAUGAAGCUUGAGUUUCUAGCAGACUUUCUUGACUUGUGUAUAUUUGGAUGUGCAAAUGAGUCGGUGUUGUGUGACUUGCUCACUGUAUUCGCUAGUGUGUUAUGAAUGUGGAUGUCCAGGAAUUUAGAUGAGCCCAUGCCGAAUUUUUUCUUGACCUGAUGUAGCUGAAUCAUUAGCUGAAGGAUGUGUUGGCAACCGUGUCUUUGUCGUCUGCUGUGUUACCGAUGGUGGUUUGUUUGAGUAAAUAAUUAGUAGUGUUCAAGUUGCAGGACAAGAGCUAGAGCUCAGGAAGGUGUCAAGUUUAGAAUGAUUUAAGCCUCCAUAUACAUGCAAUAGUUACCUCCGUUUUGUUGUUACAAAAAGGCCAGCCUGUAGGUUUUCUAUGUAUUGCUGCUUGUUUCUCAGUAUACUUGUGCAGUAUCAAUUGCAAUUUGUUGCAAAUGCACAGACUUGGUCCGCUCUUGUUUGUUUCAGUUUGCCUAGGUGCCUAGCUGUUUGUUGUAUAUAUGGUCUGCACCAUUUUGAAUGAUGCUGUGUUAUUUCAUUUCAGGUGAAGAAGAAUAAGAGGAUGAAGACUAAGAAUGAGCCGCUAGAUUCUUCUACUUUGUGCAACCUGCUUGGGGAUUAUCUCAGCCUCGCGCGUGGGGCUCUGGUCCACCAAAGUCCCUCGCCGAUGUGCUUCGCGGUGGCUGGCCACUUGCUUCUUUUGGUCAAGCCGUUGUGGUGCAUCUGGUAGACAGCAAUGUGAAGAAGAAGAAGAAGAAUAAGGGGGAACUUGGGUCCCUGCGCCGCUUGACGGUUAUUUUCACUUAGUGAUGUGCACAGCACUUUCAGAAGUGUACACGUUGUUGCGGGUCAGUCUGUGGCUUGGGUUGCUGCGGUGGCGCAGGAGGAGGAGGGUGCGGCCUUGCUGUGCGGAUGCUUUUGCUGCUGGUGCCGCAGCAGGCACGUAUUUUUUGUAAUGUAAUAUG
Long non-coding RNA from Lolium rigidum, 1489 nucleotides. RefSeq lists it as uncharacterized. Lineage: Eukaryota; Viridiplantae; Streptophyta; Magnoliopsida; Poales; Poaceae. The record is from RefSeq and is a predicted model, not a curated record. The transcript has 6 exons.